UACAGAGGGUGCAAGCGUUGUUCGGAAUUAUUGGGCGUAAAGCGCGUGUAGGCGGCUUUGCAAGUCGGGUGUGAAAUCCCUCAGCUUAACUGAGGAAGUGCGCCCGAAACUGCCGAGCUUGAGUACCGGAGAGGGUGGCGGAAUUCCCCAAGUAGAGGUGAAAUUCGUAGAUAUGGGGAGGAACACCGGUGGCGAAGGCGGCCGCCUGGACGGAUACUGACGCUGAGACGCGAAAGCGUGGGGAGCAAACGGG
This 253-nucleotide ribosomal RNA is filed under the name uncultured bacterium. Its description in RNAcentral is "partial 16S ribosomal RNA". It matches the Rfam family "Bacterial small subunit ribosomal RNA", at positions 524 to 776 of the family's 1533-position model. The record is from RNAcentral.